ACCUACGGGAGGCAGCAGUGGGGAAUAUUGCACAAUGGGGGAAACCCUGAUGCAGCAACGCCGCGUGAAGGAAGACGGUUUUCGGAUUGUAAACUUCUGUUCUUAGUGAAGAAUAAUGACGGUAGCUAAGGAGCAAGCCACGGCUAACUACGUGCCAGCAGCCGCGGUAAUACGUAGGUGGCAAGCGUUGUCCGGAAUUACUGGGUUUAAAGGGUGCGCAGGCGGAGGUGCAAGUCAGCGGUCAAAUUGCGGGGCUCAACCCCGUACUGCCGUUGAAACUGCAUCCCUUGAGUGCG
Molecule: ribosomal RNA, 296 nt
Filed under: uncultured bacterium
Lineage: Bacteria
Description: partial 16S ribosomal RNA
Rfam family: Bacterial small subunit ribosomal RNA
Source: RNAcentral